This 619-nucleotide ribosomal RNA is filed under the name Klebsiella pneumoniae subsp. pneumoniae. RNAcentral describes it as "bacterial SSU rRNA". It matches the Rfam family "Bacterial small subunit ribosomal RNA", at positions 104 to 719 of the family's 1533-position model. The record is from RNAcentral. Lineage: Bacteria; Pseudomonadati; Pseudomonadota; Gammaproteobacteria; Enterobacterales; Enterobacteriaceae.
GGGUGAGUAAUGUCUGGGAAACUGCCUGAUGGAGGGGGAUAACUACUGGAAACGGUAGCUAAUACCGCAUAACGUCGCAAGACCAAAGUGGGGGACCUUCGGGCCUCAUGCCAUCAGAUGUGCCCAGAUGGGAUUAGCUAGUAGGUGGGGUAACGGCUCACCUGGGCGACGAUCCCUAGCUGGUCUGAGAGGAUGACCAGCCACACUGGAACUGAGACACGGUCCAGACUCCUACGGGAGGCAGCAGUGGGGAAUAUUGCACAAUGGGCGCAAGCCUGAUGCAGCCAUGCCGCGUGUAUGAAGAAGGCCUUCGGGUUGUAAGGUACUUUCAGCGGGGAGGAAGGCGAUAAGGUUAAUAACCUUGUCGAUUGACGUUACCCGCAGAAGAAGCACCGGCUAACUCCGUGCCAGCAGCCGCGGUAAUACGGAGGGUGCAAGCGUUAAUCGGAAUUACUGGGCGUAAAGCGCACGGAGGCGGUCUGUCAAGUCGGAUGUGAAAUCCCCGGGCUCAACCUGGGAACUGCAUUCGAAACUGGCAGGCUAGAGUCUUGUAGAGGGGGGUAGAAUUCCAGGUGUAGCGGUGAAAUGCGUAGAGAUCUGGAGGAAUACCGGUGGCGAA